RNAcentral lists this transfer RNA (77 nucleotides) under Candidatus Omnitrophota bacterium. RNAcentral describes it as "Candidatus Omnitrophica bacterium (sediment metagenome) tRNA-Met". It matches the Rfam family "tRNA". From Rfam's summary of the family: Transfer RNA (tRNA) molecules are approximately 80 nucleotides in length. Lineage: Bacteria; Pseudomonadati; Candidatus Omnitrophota. The record is from RNAcentral.
GGCGGGGUAGCUCAGUCCGAUAGAGCAAUCGGUUCAUACCCGACAGGUCGGUGGUUUAAAUCCACUCCCCGCCACCA